This is a non-coding RNA of Rattus norvegicus (Norway rat), 922 nucleotides long. Lineage: Eukaryota; Metazoa; Chordata; Mammalia; Rodentia; Muridae. The record is from RefSeq and is a predicted model, not a curated record.
UGAGCUUUGUCCAUCUGCAGCCCCUUCUUCCUUCCCACAGGAUCAGGCCACUGUGGAGAUGGGAUCUACUCAGAACACCAUGUCUUAAGGCUUGAGUAUGAACUGCUCACUAAAGGAGCUGACAUCCCAUUUCCGCUAUGGAAAGGCCACUGCUGCAGCUACAGAGCUUUCGGUGCUGCCUGAUGGUGGCACAUUUGCGGGAUCUCUUUCCUCUGUCAAGAACACAUGUCUGGAACACAAGGGAUGCAGGAGCCUGAGGCUGUGGACGAAAGCACAGAUGAAGGGUAAGGACAAAGGAGAAUGCACCCCAGGCAUAGAUGGUCACUGGCCAGGACUGGGACAGCGAUAGCCACCGUUCACUUGGGCCCAGCGGUCUCUCACAGUUACUUCUAAAAUGUGACUGUGACCUGUCUGUCCUCCACCCCACCUCACAAGAGCCACUGCGAACACUGAAGAAAGAAGGUACAUUAUGCUUUGGGGUGAACCAGACCACACGGAGCCACAGCACAUUCGCAGAGAAGACGUGAGGAAGGAGCUCAGGCCUGAGCUGUGGCAAAGGAAGGCGACGUUGGCAGGGCGAAUCCAUGCUGCCAGCGUCCUUAGGGAAACCGAAUUUCCUGUCAUUCAUGGCCCAGAAGCAUGCCCCACUUUAUUUGUUCAGUAAGGACCUUGCCCCAGAAGACUGGGCACUGUGUCGAUCUCAGUGGUUCUAGGGAUCAAACUCAGGCUUUGGACAUGAUAGGCAAGUGCUCUAGCCCUGAGGAUACACCACAGUCCCUAAAGACUUUUUAUAUCUUCGAGUAUCAUUUAUCGGUUUAGCAAUUAGUGCCAUUCUGGGCACAUCGAACAUGUACUGAAAACGUUUGGUGAGAGACUGAUUGAAUGAUUAAGCAACGAGUAAAGGAGUAGGUUCUUGUUUCAA